UGAAUAAUGCCUAGGAAUCUGCCUGGUAGUGGGGGACAGCGUCUCGAAAGGGACGCUCAUACCGCAUACGUCCUACGGGAGAAAGCAGGGGACCUUCGGGCCUUGCGCUAUCAGAUGAGCCUAGGUCGGAUUAGCUAGAUUGGUGAGGUAAUGGCUCACCAAGGCGACGAUCCGUAACUGGUCUGAGAGGAUGAUCAGUCACACUGGAACUGAGACACGGUCCAGACUCCUACAGGAGGCAGCAGUGGGGAAUAUUGGACAAUGGGCGAAAGCCUGAUCCAGCCAUGCCGCGUGUGUGAAGAAGGUCUUCGGAUUGUAAAGCACUUUAAGUUGGGAGGAAGGGUUGUAGAUUAAUACUCUGCAAUUUUGACGUUACCGACAGAAUAAGCACCGGCUAACUCUGUGCCAGCAGCCGC
This 416-nucleotide ribosomal RNA is filed under the name uncultured Pseudomonas sp. RNAcentral's name for it is "bacterial SSU rRNA". It matches the Rfam family "Bacterial small subunit ribosomal RNA", at positions 107 to 518 of the family's 1533-position model. Lineage: Bacteria; Pseudomonadati; Pseudomonadota; Gammaproteobacteria; Pseudomonadales; Pseudomonadaceae. The record is from RNAcentral.